Molecule: ribosomal RNA, 502 nt
Filed under: uncultured bacterium
Lineage: Bacteria
Description: partial 16S ribosomal RNA
Rfam family: Bacterial small subunit ribosomal RNA
Source: RNAcentral
GAUUAACGCUGGCGGCGUGCCUAACACAUGCAAGUCGAGCGGCAGCGAGUUUUACACUGAAUUCUGGAAGCUUCUAGUUGAAAGAGAAGAUUUAUUCAAGAAUUUUGUGUAAAAUGUCGGCGAGCGGCGGACGGCUGAGUAACGCGUGGGAACGUACCCCAAAGUGAGGGAUAACGCAUCGAAAGGUGUGCUAAUACCGCAUAUGGUCUUCGGAUUAAAGCCUUCGGGCGCUUUGGGAACGGCCUGCGUAAGAUUAGAUAGUUGGUGGGGUAAUGGCCUACCAAGUCGACGAUCUUUAACUGGUUUGAGAGGAUGAUCAGUCAGACUGGAACUGAGACACGGUCCAGACUCCUACGGGAGGCAGCAGUGAGGAAUCUUCCACAAUGGGCGAAAGCCUGAUGGAGCAACGCCGCGUGCAGGAUGAAGGCCUUCGGGUUGUAAACUGCUUUUAUAGGUGAGGAUUAUGACAGUAACUUAUGAAUAAGGAUCGGCUAACUACGUG